Molecule: long non-coding RNA, 634 nt
Organism: Passer domesticus (house sparrow)
Lineage: Eukaryota; Metazoa; Chordata; Aves; Passeriformes; Passeridae
Exons: 4
Source: RefSeq, a predicted model, not a curated record
CACGGGCAGAGGGUGGGGGAGCAGCGGGGCUGCCCUCCCCCGGGACCGGCGGCGAGCCCGGCCCCCGGGGAGCGCUGCAGCCCCCUCCCCGCGCCCCUCGGCCCCGCACUCACCGAGAAGCCGGCCCAGGACGGGCAGGACUGCCGGAUUUUGGUGGAGGGAGUGAUGGUGGCCGCCACCAGGCUGAAGGUGACGAUGAGGACGCCCAGGACGGCUUGCACGAGCCCCAGGACCAGCAGGACCUGCAGCCAGGUGCGCUGGAGGCGGAGGCACCACCAGCAGGCAGCACUCCUCAAGGCUGAGAGGUUCCUUCAGGGCACAGCAGAACAACCCCAGGAUCAGCUGCUGUCAGGCCAAACCCCGACCAGUCCCACCAGUUCCAUAACUUACAAGGAAACAGAUAAGCUACAGAGAGCUGCUAGUCCUGGAGUAUUUACACCGAGGGGGGCAGGAACAGGAGACAAAGCAACACAGGACAAGAGGUAUUUACAGCACGGACACACAGGCCCCCCUCACCUCACGGGAACGGCAGCAGCGACAGCAGGUCAGGCCCUGGUGCUCCUAGGCCGACAGAGAAUCUGGGCUAUUUACAGUAUCUCACAUAUUAACAGCUUUACAAACGUGUCCAGGAAGU